Molecule: ribosomal RNA, 457 nt
Filed under: uncultured bacterium
Lineage: Bacteria
Description: partial 16S ribosomal RNA
Rfam family: Bacterial small subunit ribosomal RNA
Source: RNAcentral
CCUACGGGUGGCAGCAGUGGGGAAUAUUGCACAAUGGGGGAAACCCUGAUGCAGCGACGCCGCGUGAGUGAAGAAGUAUUUCGGUAUGUAAAGCUCUAUCAGCAGGGAAGAAACCCACCCUCCGGGGUGGCUGACGGUACCUGACUAAGAAGCCCCGGCUAACUACGUGCCAGCAGCCGCGGUAAUACGUAGGGGGCAAGCGUUAUCCGGCUUUACUGGGUGUAAAGGGAGCGUAGGUGGCAAGGCAAGUCAGAUGUGAAAACCCGGGGCCCAACCCCUGGAGUGAAUUUGAAACUGUCUGGCGAGAGGGCAGGAGAGGUAAGUGGAAGUCCGAGUGUAGCGGGGAAAUGCAUAGAGAUUAGGAGGAACACCAGUGGCGAAGGCGGCUUACUGGACUGUAACGGAAACGGAGGCUCGAAAGCGUGGGGAGCAAACAGGAUUAGAUACCCCGGUAGUC